Molecule: transfer RNA, 65 nt
Filed under: Cercopithecus nictitans martini
Lineage: Eukaryota; Metazoa; Chordata; Mammalia; Primates; Cercopithecidae
Description: tRNA-Lys
Source: RNAcentral
AGAUACACUGCACAGCUACCCUAGCGUUAACCUUUUAAGUUAAAGACUGAGGGGUACACCCUCUG